This 1589-nucleotide ribosomal RNA is filed under the name Geoglossum fallax. RNAcentral describes it as "eukaryotic LSU rRNA". It matches the Rfam family "Eukaryotic large subunit ribosomal RNA", at positions 26 to 1067 of the family's 3401-position model. The record is from RNAcentral. Lineage: Eukaryota; Fungi; Ascomycota; Geoglossomycetes; Geoglossales; Geoglossaceae.
CGCUGAACUUAAGCAUAUCAAUAAGCGGAGGAAAAGAAACCAACAGGGAUUGCCUCAGUAACGGCGAGUGAAGCGGCAACAGCUCAAAUUUGAAAUCUGGUCUUCAUGAGGCCCGAAUUGUAAUUUGUAGAGGAUGUCUUCGGGUUUGGCCCCGGCCUAAGUUCCUUGGAACAGGACGUCACAGAGGGUGAGAAUCCCGUAUGUGGCUGGAGGUCUAUACCCAUGUGAAGCUCCUUCGAUGAGUCGAGUUGUUUGGGAAUGCAGCUCAAAAUGGGUGGUAAGUUUCAUCUAAAGCUAAAUACUGGCGGGAGACCGAUAGCGCACAAGUAGAGUGAUCGAAAGAUGAAAAGCACUUUGGAAAGAGAGUUAAAAAGUACGUGAAAUUGUUGAAAGGGAAGCGCUUGCGACCAGACUUGCCCUCAGCUGAUCAACUAGUGUUAUUCACUGGUGCACUUGGUUGAGGUCAGGCCAGCAUCGGUUUGAACGGUUGGAGAAAGGUCAGAGGAAUGUGGCUCCCUUCGGGGAGUGUUAUAGCCUGUGAUGCCAUGCAACCAGUUUGGACCGAGGACCGCGCCUUUGUGCUAGGAUGCUGGCGUAAUGGUCGUAAGCGACCCGUCUUGAAACACGGACCAAGGAGUCUAACAUCUAUGCGAGUGUUUGGGUGUCAAACCCAUGUGCGUAAUGAAAGUGAACGGAGGUGGGAACCCUUAAGGGUGCACCAUCGACCGAUCCUGAUGUCUUCGGAUGGAUUUGAGUAAGAGCAUAGCUGUUGGGACCCGAAAGAUGGUGAACUAUGCCUGAAUAGGGUGAAGCCAGAGGAAACUCUGGUGGAGGCUCGCAGCGGUUCUGACGUGCAAAUCGAUCGUCAAAUUUGGGUAUAGGGGCGAAAGACUAAUCGAACCAUUCCCCACGGGGGUAGGUGGUUAAGAGGCAGAUAAAAGGUCUGUCUAGUCCCAAAGUUCACGGGGCAACACUGUCAAAUUGCGGGGACUCCCUCAAAAUAGCCUAAACAACCGCAGCCUGGACGAAAGACGGGUGCGCACCAGGGUAAUGACCUCGGGUAUGGUAAAAUCGUUUAGGAUGGGGAUAUCCGCAGCUAAGUUCCUAAAGGCCUAGCCCUUUAGUACAGAGAAGGUCUUGGUUCGUCCCGGAAUGCAUGGGCUUUCAGCGAGAAUUAGCACUUGCUGUUAGCUUCAUGAAUCUUAACCUGAGACUGUACACUACCGGGGCCCAUGGAAAAAGUUCACAGACUAGAUGGCAGUGGGUAAGAGUUCGCUAAAACUCUUGCUUAAGGUAUAGUCGGGCCCCCGUGAGAGCGGGGCGGUGGGAAAAAGCGCUUUAGUAAAGAGUGAACUCUGUAAAGUCUUCGUCUGACGCAGUCAAGGCUGUUACAGAUCCUAAGUGCCCGAAACCCAUCGGGAAGGACCUUUCUGGAGGUAGUGGAAAGUAUAUCCUUCUGGUACACCGCUAGUAGCUGGUUCCUGCCGAAGUUUCCCUCAGGAUAGCAGUAACGUAUUCAGUUUUAUGAGGUAAAGCGAAUGAUUAGAGGCCUUGGGGUUGAAACAACCUUAACCUAUUCUCCAACUUUA